AUGAUCACAAGACCAGAUGAAAGUAGUGAAGACUCCUUAGAAGUGGAAAAAGCAAAAGCAAAACUCAGACCAUUAAGUGCACUCCUGAAAGAACCUGAAAGUGAAACACUCACAUUUGCACAGCUUCUAGCUAGAUGCAGUUUAACUCUGACAGAGUACAAGAGGUGCUUACACUUAAUGAAGACCUCCAGUACAGUGAUUCUGAAGCGUGAUCCGAAAGACUGCUGGGUAAAUGCAUACAAUCCACAUAUUUUACAAGCUUUUGACAGCAACAUGGACAUAUCAUUUAUUUUGAAUGCUUACUCUGUCAUUAUGUACCUAACAUCCUACAUCACUAAGCAAGAACACGGACUUUCAGAGUACCUUAAAAACGUCAUUGAGAACUCCAGCUCACAUAGCACAAACCAGGCUGACGACAUGAGAGAAGUAAUGCAGGCUUACUCCAAAAAACGAGAGAUUAGCGCCCAAGAAUGUGUCACUCGCCUGUGUGGACUUCCCAUGAAAAAGUCUUCCAGAGGAAUCAUCUUCAUUCCAACCGAUGACAACGCCGUGAAAAUGAGUCGCCCAAUUUCACAACUGGAAGACAUGACAUCUGAAAGCGAAAAUGUCUGGAUGAAGUCCUUAGUAGACAAAUACAAGUGCAGGCCAGAAACAACAGAGUUUGAGAACAUGUGUAUGGCUGACUUUGCUGCCACAUGCAGAUUAGUUUACGGACAACAAAGAAAAGCCAAAAAUGUUUUGCCUCUUCUGAACGGGAUGGGAUUUGUCAAAAAACGCACUAACGACAAACCAGCUAUCAUACGCUUCUUCCGUCCGUCUGAGAAAAAAAAUCCUGAACAGUUUUUCCAGAGCCAGCUGAAACUGUACCUUCCAUACAGAUCUGAAGACGACCUUAAACGACCACACUUCCCUACAUAUCAGUCCUUCUACAACUCCGGCUAUGUGCGCCUGCGUGACUCUGAACACCCUGAGUCCGUUCAAGCCAUUGUGAAACGAAACCAGGACAAAUAUGAGAAAAACAGCAAAAACGUUGAACAAGCCAUUGAGGAUUAUGAACAAAACAGAGGCUCCAUUGACGAAUGGUGCAACUUGGCGCCCGAAUCAGAGCUAGUGAGACUGCAGUGUAACAGAGAACUUCAAAGGGAUGAGCGUGUUGAUGAAAACGAACAAGAAAACGUUCCAGAUUACAGUCGUGAAGCCAAUUCCUCAACAGAAAUUAGAGCCAUCAGAGAAGCCCGCUCAUUGAUGCCAGCACACAACGAGAAAUGUACCGAAGCCUAA
This 1281-nucleotide long non-coding RNA is filed under the name Oryzias javanicus (javanese ricefish). RNAcentral describes it as "lncRNA (ENSOJAG00000006460.1)". Lineage: Eukaryota; Metazoa; Chordata; Actinopteri; Beloniformes; Adrianichthyidae. The record is from RNAcentral.